UGUGUGUGUGCGGACCCGCCUUCACUCCUCCCGUCACUUGCUCAGAUCAGCUGCACUCGGACACUCUCUCUCUCUCUCUCUCUCGCGCGCGCUGAGUGCUCGGAUCACAGUGUGAGAGUGUGUGUGUGUGUGUGUGCACGCGCUCGGUGAAGAGAGUGCAGACUCCGCCGUGUUCUCCUCGUCACCCCACCGCUCCCUGAAACCCUGGACCGACUCUGCGGAAGAACUGAGAGGAGAAUCCUGUGGAGUCUGUCUUUCAUUCACCCAGCAUGAGGCAGCAUGUGGUUACUCUCACUUUAGCACAGGUCCUGUAACAGCAUGUGCCUCGUCGAAAGGUAAGAAGCAGAAAUGAACAGCUUGCUUUGCCUACUGAUUUAAAACACAUUCAGAGCUGUUGAUCUUAUGCUGCAUUACAUUUUACCUUAAAAACUGAAUUUUUUAGUUCCAAGUAAAAAAUGUUUCCUGGAACGCUAUUAAAACACUCAAACUGUCCACUUCAGGAGGUGGUCUGAAACGAUUUUAAAACAGAUAAAAACCUGAUCACUCAAACUGUCCACUUCAGGAGGUGGUCUGAGACGCAUUUGAGCCACUUACUGUCGCUGUAUAAAGAACAAGACAUUAUACAGAGGUCUCAAUAAUAACCCUUUUGGCUUAAAAUGACGAGUGAUUCUAAUUUUUUGAACCGCAGUUUAUGUAUAGGUUCAUAAAGAUGUUUGUGUUUUCUGCUUGUUAGCAUGGGGGAAAUGAGCUGGCUGUCAGUUUUUAAGCAUUUCUUUACUCUACUCAAAUCUAAAACUCACUAAGUAGUAAGGGGUGAAUUCAAGGUGGAUUUAAACCUUAAAAGUCUUACAAUGUUUUAAGGAGUGUGA
This 869-nucleotide long non-coding RNA is filed under the name Astyanax mexicanus (Mexican tetra). Its description in RNAcentral is "lncRNA (ENSAMXG00005014134.1)". The record is from RNAcentral. Lineage: Eukaryota; Metazoa; Chordata; Actinopteri; Characiformes; Acestrorhamphidae.